GAUGAACGCUGGCGGCGUGCUUAACACAUGCAAGUCGAACGGAAGGGCCCAAGCUUGCUUGGGUACUCGAGUGGCGAACGGGUGAGUAACACGUGGGUGAUCUGCCCUGCACUUCGGGAUAAGCCUGGGAAACUGGGUCUAAUACCGGAUAGGACCACAUUUUGGAUGGUGUGGUGGAAAGUUUUUCGGUGUGGGAUGAGCUCGCGGCCUAUCAGCUUGUUGGUGGGGUAAUGGCCUACCAAGGCGUCGACGGGUAGCCGGCCUGAGAGGGUGUACGGCCACAUUGGGACUGAGAUACGGCCCAGACUCCUACGGGAGGCAGCAGUGGGGAAUAUUGCACAAUGGGCGCAAGCCUGAUGCAGCGACGCCGCGGGGGGGAUGACGGCCUUCGGGUUGUAAACUCCUUUCGCUAGGGACGAAGCGUUAUGUGACGGUACCUGGAGAAGAAGCACCGGCUAACUACGUG
RNAcentral lists this ribosomal RNA (466 nucleotides) under uncultured bacterium. Its description in RNAcentral is "partial 16S ribosomal RNA". It matches the Rfam family "Bacterial small subunit ribosomal RNA", at positions 28 to 507 of the family's 1533-position model. The record is from RNAcentral.